This 926-nucleotide long non-coding RNA is filed under the name Helianthus annuus (common sunflower). RNAcentral describes it as "hypothetical non coding rna". Lineage: Eukaryota; Viridiplantae; Streptophyta; Magnoliopsida; Asterales; Asteraceae. The record is from RNAcentral.
UUUCAUUAAAUUAAAAAAAAAACAUUCGAACUAGAAAAAAAAAAUACAUUCAACCUAAAAAAUAUAAAAACAAACUACUCCUCGUCCGAAUCAACUUCAAGGUGAGGCAAAUCUAAACUUCCGAGAUGCUCAACGAGAUCGUGUUUUAGCCUCCAAUGCGUGUCUUCGUCAAUGAGCUCCGUAUAGGCUGUAUCAUCGAAGACGGGUUCGACUGGAGGAUCUUGAAUAUGAACCGGUGCUAUCGCCCUUCCGUCGUCUUUUAUAAUCAUGUUGUGUAAAAUAAGGCACGUAUACACGAUGGACCUUAUUUUUUUCACCGUUUUCGAACGCAUUGGACGAUUUAGUAUUCCCCACUUCGACUUUAACACACCAAACGCCCGUUCCACAUCUUUUCUUGCGGCCUCGUGUUGCCUCUUGAAUUUUUUUUCGUUCGGGUCGUGUGGAUAUGGAAAAGACUUCACAAACACGGACCAGGUAGGGUAGAUCCCAUCAGUAAGAUAAUACCCGCGUUUGUAUAAAUGGUUGUUCACUUGAAAUGGACAAUUUGGCGCCGUUCCAUUUCGUUGAGCAAGAAAUAACGGAGAUUGUUGCAGCACGUUGAUAUCGUUUUGUGAACCCGCUGGCCCACAAAAAGCAUGCCAAAUCCACAAAUCUUGAGACGCUACCGCUUCUAACAUAACCGUCGGGUAUUGAUGAUCGCCUCUCAUGUAUUGUCCACGCAAUUCUGUGGGGCACAUUCUCCAGACGAAGUGUGUACAAUCCAGACUCCCUAACAUACCAGGUAGGUGAUGCCUAUCCUCAUGAGCCUGAUACAAUAGCGCGAUGUCGUGGCUCGUUGGUCUACGUAGGAAUUCACCGCCAUACCUUAUAAAAAUAAAAAUUAAAUAAAAGACAUUUCAUUAAAUUAAAAAAAAAAAAACAUUCGA